RNAcentral lists this ribosomal RNA (254 nucleotides) under uncultured bacterium. RNAcentral describes it as "partial 16S ribosomal RNA". It matches the Rfam family "Bacterial small subunit ribosomal RNA", at positions 524 to 776 of the family's 1533-position model. The record is from RNAcentral.
CACGUAGGGCGCGAGCGUUGUCCGGAAUUAUUGGGCGUAAAGAGCUCGUAGGCGGUGUGUCGCGUCGGCCGUGAAAACCUGCAGCUUAACUGUGGGCUUGCGGUCGAUACGGGCAUCACUGGAGUUCGGCAGGGGAGACUGGAAUUCCUGGUGUAGCGGUGAAAUGCGCAGAUAUCAGGAGGAACACCGGUGGCGAAGGCGGGUCUCUGGGCCGAUACUGACGCUGAGGAGCGAAAGCGUGGGGAGCGAACAGG